GACGAACCGUGCGAACGUUGUUCGGAAUCACUGGGCUUAAAGGGCGCGUAGGCGGCUCGCGAGGUCGGGGGUGAAAUCCCGCAGCUUAACUGCGGAAGGGCCUCCGAUACCGGCGGGCUGGAGGAAGGUAGGGGUGCGCGGAACUUCUGGUGGAGCGGUGAAAUGCGUUGAUAUCAGAAGGAACGCCGGCGGCGAAAGCGGCGCACUGAACCUUUUCCGACGCUGAGGUGCGAAAGCGAU
Molecule: ribosomal RNA, 240 nt
Filed under: uncultured bacterium
Lineage: Bacteria
Description: partial 16S ribosomal RNA
Rfam family: Bacterial small subunit ribosomal RNA
Source: RNAcentral